UGACUAUGAUGAGAACCUAUCACAAUCAGUUCUGCUUAUGAAGGAUCUUGAUUAUACCCCAAAUACCAAAACAAAACAUCUGAUGG
Anopheles culicifacies is the source of this 86-nucleotide non-coding RNA. NCBI's taxonomy places the organism in Eukaryota, Metazoa, Arthropoda, Insecta, Diptera, Culicidae. The record is from Rfam.